GGCCACCGCUAUUGGAGUUCGAUUAAGCCAUGCGAGUCGAGAGGGUUCGGCCCUCGGCGGACUGCUCAGUAACACGUGGAUAACCUGCCCUCGGGUGGGGGAUAACCCUGGGAAACCGGGAACAAUACCCCAUAGAUCUGGGAUGCUGGAAUGCCCCCAGGUCAAAAGCUCCGGCGCCCGAGGAUGGGUCUGCGGCCUAUCAGGUAGUAGUGAGAGUAACUGCCUCACUAGCCUACGACGGGUACGGGCCUUGGGAGAGGUAGCCCGGAGAUGGACUCUGAGACACGAGUCCAGGCCCUACGGGGCGCAGCAGGCGCGAAAACUUUGCAAUGCGGGCAACCGCGACAAGGGAACUCCAAGUGCCUAUGCACAGCAUAGGCUGUUCGACUGCCUAAAAAGCAGUCGGAGUAAGGGCUGGGUAAGUCCGGUGCCAGCCGCCGCGGUAAUACCGGCAGCCCGAGUGGUGGCCUUUAUUAUUGGGUCUAAAGCGUCCGUAGCCGGUCCUUCAAAUCCCUGGGUAAUCGGGCAGCUCAACUGUCCGACUUCCGGGGAGACUGUGGGACUUGGGACCGGGAGAGGUCGGAGGUACUCCUGGGGUAGGGGUGAAA
Molecule: ribosomal RNA, 608 nt
Filed under: uncultured archaeon
Lineage: Archaea
Description: bacterial SSU rRNA
Rfam family: Archaeal small subunit ribosomal RNA
Source: RNAcentral